RNAcentral lists this transfer RNA (75 nucleotides) under marine sediment metagenome. RNAcentral describes it as "tRNA-Met". It matches the Rfam family "tRNA". Rfam says of the family: Transfer RNA (tRNA) molecules are approximately 80 nucleotides in length. Their secondary structure includes four short double-helical elements and three loops (D, anti-codon, and T loops). The record is from RNAcentral.
UGCGGCGUAGUUCAAUGGCAGAACAGGGUCCUCAUAAGGCUCAUGUCGGUGGUUCGAUUCCACCCGUCGCAACCA